Long non-coding RNA from Passer montanus (Eurasian tree sparrow), 2370 nucleotides. RefSeq lists it as uncharacterized. NCBI's taxonomy places the organism in Eukaryota, Metazoa, Chordata, Aves, Passeriformes, Passeridae. The transcript has 3 exons. The record is from RefSeq and is a predicted model, not a curated record.
UCCCUCCUGGAGGGAGGUGGUCUCUGCUCUGUGUCCUGAGGGGAGAUGCUUCUUUAUGUUUUGUAUCCCUGAGGGUCUGGGGUGCUAUUUUAAGUGGGAAGGGAGGGAAAAGAUAUUCUGCAUUGAGUAGGGUUGGCUACAGGCUCUGAGAUUCUGGUGCCCUGAUGAUGAACACAGUUUUCCCAAGACCUGAGGAUUUGCACGGGACCUGUGACAUGAGGAUUCCUUUCUUUCACCCACCUAGGGCUCCAAAUGCAGAGAAUCCCCUAAAUUCUGCAGAUUUUUACUGCUGCAGAUCCUCUGUCUUUCUCCUUGACUGCUCCUCACAUCAAGACAAGGACUAGCCCAGGGAGUUCUUUAGAGAAAAAAAAAACCUUAUGGAGCAGAAAUCUUUCUUCCCCUUAAAAUAAAUCAACAAGAGGAGAUUUAUAAUUUCUCCAGGGGGAAAAUUGCACCUGCCAGCCUGUUUUCUCAGGCCCCAGCUCUUGAAGCACUUGAGCACAAUUCCAGCUUGAAUUGCAGGAGUUUUCCUCCUGCCUGGCUCCCGUCGGAUGACUCAUGGCUUUCAAAGUUGGUCACGUCCUUCAGGAUACUGUGGAAUUGAAUGGAGCCUUUCCUUCCCUGUAGCUCAAGGAUAUGGGAUGGGAGCCAUCCUCCCUUCCAACCCUGCCUCCUGCCUGAGCUCAUGUCAAAAUGUUCUCCUUGGAAAGUUGCAGCGCAGUUCUGUUUGACAGACAGGAACACAGGGACAUGCUGGGUCCUUUGCCACGUUUCCCACAGGGAACAAUUUCACACCUCUUCAGUUUAAACAAGGGUUUCUCCAUGUCUUGUUUAACCCCCUUGCUGCCCUGCCACAGGAAAUAUUCCUGCGUGCCCUAAAUCUUCAUUUCCAGCCUUAGAAAGGGACAAGAGGCAGAGCUGAGAGAGCCUGGAUUUUAAGUAAGAGGGACACUUUGCAUCAUGUCUUGGAGCUGAUGGACUUCACCUACAGCUGAGCCGUGGGAUGAUGAGGGGUAGUGGUUUAGAACUAAAAGAGGGGAGUUUUAGACUCAAUGUAAGGAAGAAAUUUUUUACUGUGAGGGUGGUGAGGCCCUGGCAAAGAUUGCCCAGAGAAGCUGUGGCUGUCCCAUCCAGGAAAUGUUCCAGGCCAGGUUGCUCCAUGGGGCUUGGAGCAACCUGGGAUAGUGGGAGGUGUCCUUACCCAUGGCAAGGGGUAGAAAUGGAUGGGCUUUGAGGUCUCUUCCAACCACAGCCAUUCCUGGAUUCCAUGACUCUGGUUGGUCUGCAGUGCCAGGAGGAUCCUGCUUUGCCUUGUGCACCAUCAGCACCUGAAGAACAUCAGAUGGACUUGCAGGCCCAAGAGGGGAUUUUCACCACGGUGUGAACUCACAUCCACAUACUCUGGUGCUACCUCCCUCUGUCUCCCAAAUUCCCAAGAAAAUUGUAGCUGUUCCCUUUUCACUUUAGGUUUUGAGGUCCUUCCAGGAAGUUCAGUGAGCUCCUUUGUCCUGUGCCUUGCAGGCACUGGGGUUUUCCUGUUGUUCCCUCUGGGCUUGUCUUGACUCAGGGAUCUGCUCCAGCCUGCCAUGAAAUUCCCCCAGCUUGAAUUCUUUCUGCUCUUCUUGUCCAGGGAAAUCACAUAAAGGUGUCCUGCUUAUGGCACCCUUCACCAAAUGAGGAGAGCACUGCAGCCCAGUUGGAUCUUGGGGAGGGAUUUAGGGUUGUGCUCUGACUUUUAGGUCCUGAAUUCAAACUGGGGCAGUUGUUUCCAUCCCCCCACAAAAGCUGGGCAGAGCAGGAGGGGCCCUGACAGGUUGCCAGCAGGGCAAAUUCUGCCAUUGAGUUUUCCCAUCCCGUCCCUUCUCCAAUACCAGGAGACUGCCCUGUACCUUUACCCCAUGAGCCCUCUCUCAUGGCAGGAAACUCUUCUGGAUCAUAUAGUCUUCAAAUUUAAAAAAAUUACUUGUUAACCAUCCAAUUUCUCUGAGAGGAAAUUCUAUUAAAUCCCCAGAAGAAAGUGCAUUAUGGCUGUACUUUCCGAAGUAGACCCUUGAAUAAACUUUUUUCCUUAUUUCACGUAAGGAAAUUCACAUUUCCAUUAUUGCUGUCAUUAUGAAGCAGAUGAACAUUUUCUGGAACAAUUAGACGCGGGUGUGUGGAAUAAAGAGUGGAGUUCGCCUGAGAUCAUUGAAACCUAUCUGUUUGGGUGAUUCAUUUUCUUCCAACUAGGCUGCCCAUAAUAAGCUUUUCUUCUCUGGCUUUGUCUUGUUUCCCAUUUCAGGCAGCCACAAUGCCCGAAGAAUUGAAAGAAUGUCUUUCCCCAUGUCCUUGUGCUGCGACUGAGCCUGGCAAACAAAAAAAUAAAAUAUA